RNAcentral lists this RNase P RNA (480 nucleotides) under Chloroflexota bacterium. RNAcentral describes it as "RNase P RNA component class A". It matches the Rfam family "Bacterial RNase P class A". Rfam says of the family: Ribonuclease P (RNase P) is a ubiquitous endoribonuclease, found in archaea, bacteria and eukarya as well as chloroplasts and mitochondria. Its best characterised activity is the generation of mature 5'-ends of tRNAs by cleaving the 5'-leader elements of precursor-tRNAs. The record is from RNAcentral. Lineage: Bacteria; Bacillati; Chloroflexota.
GCAAGCAAGCGGUCCGUCGCUCGCCCUGAGCGUUGUCGAAGGACGAGGGGCGAGAGGAACUUCCCGACUCCCAUUCUGAUGCAAAUCGGAGCGGUUGCCUCACGAAACAGCAAGUGAGGGCACACGACCCCCACCCAACCUCCCCCGUCUUUGACAGGGGAGGGGAACGCGGGGGUGGUGUGACGACAACUGCAACAGAAAGCAAACCUACCCCCACCCUAAGUGGGGGCGAUGGCUGAAACGGUGGGGUAAGAGCCCACCAGCGUUGCAGGUGACUGCGGCGGCUGGGUGAAUGUCCAACUGGGAGCAAGGCGGGUGGGAUCGGCUCGCGUGUGCUUCGUCGUUCGCGGCGAGGACAGCAGUUGAUUCCCGUCGCAGCGGUGAUGCUGAUGGAGCAACUCUCCGUUAGGCAAUCACUGCCGGCAAUGCCGAGACAGAUGACGGACGAAACAGAAUCGGGGGUAUGGCUUGCUUGCCUCC